Carassius gibelio (silver crucian carp) is the source of this 551-nucleotide long non-coding RNA. RefSeq lists it as uncharacterized. Lineage: Eukaryota; Metazoa; Chordata; Actinopteri; Cypriniformes; Cyprinidae. The record is from RefSeq and is a predicted model, not a curated record. The transcript is spliced from 4 exons.
ACGUAAUUAAUAAUAUUUCCUUCUUUCUGUCUUACAGGAUUUUUUGCAGAUAAUCCUAAUGCUGUUCUUCUUUUUCAGGUCUAAAAUAUCAAGCUCAACAACUCACUCAAGAGCCAACCCUCACAAACCUUUUUAAAAACUAAGAGCUAUUACUGAGUCUCAGCGAAUCUUGCCAUGAUCAGCUCUUCCCAGAAGAGAAGGCAGACCAAGGAAAUGAUUUGCUCAGGAUGAGGAAUGAAGAUGGCCAUCUUGUGCUCAAACAAACAGAAGUCCUCUGAUGAUCUCAUCAGCCAAAUGAGGGGUUUUGACCAAGUGAUGCUCUUGAAAGGAGUGAAAGAAGAGGAUGUGCUAAAUUCUCUUCAGAGAAAAAGCUUCUCAAAAGGUCUCAAAACAGCUUGAAGAAUGGUCUGGGAUCUUAGGACUGAGAGAUCCUCUGGCUGAGAACAAGCUACACCACAUCAGUGCUGGAUAUCAGCCACAAACUGUUUCCAGACACGAGAGAAGAAGAACACGAUGGGGAGAUGAAACCAGUUUAGAUGUGGUGAUGGGAA